AGAAUCAACGCUGGCGGCGUGCCUCAGACAUGCAGGUCGAACGCGAAAGUUUCCUUCGGGAAACAAGUAGAGUGGCGCACGGGUGAGUAACACGUAGGUAAUCUACCUUUGGAUGGGGAAUAACAACCGGAAACGGUUGCUAAUACCGCAUAAUGCAGCGGCACCUAAUGGUGACAGUUGUUAAAGCGGGGGAUCGAAAGACCUCGCGUCUAAAGAGGAGCCUGCGGCGGAUUAGCUAGUUGGUAAGGUAACGGCUUACCAAGGCUACGAUCCGUA
Molecule: ribosomal RNA, 276 nt
Filed under: uncultured bacterium
Lineage: Bacteria
Description: partial small subunit ribosomal RNA
Rfam family: Bacterial small subunit ribosomal RNA
Source: RNAcentral